This 1453-nucleotide ribosomal RNA is filed under the name uncultured organism. RNAcentral's name for it is "SSU rRNA". It matches the Rfam family "Bacterial small subunit ribosomal RNA". The record is from RNAcentral.
CUGGCGGCGUGCCUAAUACAUGCAAGUAGAACGCUGAAGAGAGGAGCUUGCUCUUCUUGGAUGAGUUGCGAACGGGUGAGUAACGCGUAGGUAACCUGCCUUGUAGCGGGGGAUAACUAUUGGAAACGAUAGCUAAUACCGCAUAACAAUGGAUGACACAUGUCAUUUAUUUGAAAGGGGCAAAUGCUCCACUACAAGAUGGACCUGCGUUGUAUUAGCUAGUAGGUGAGGUAACGGCUCACCUAGGCGACGAUACAUAGCCGACCUGAGAGGGUGAUCGGCCACACUGGGACUGAGACACGGCCCAGACUCCUACGGGAGGCAGCAGUAGGGAAUCUUCGGCAAUGGGGGCAACCCUGACCGAGCAACGCCGCGUGAGUGAAGAAGGUUUUCGGAUCGUAAAGCUCUGUUGUAAGUCAAGAACGAGUGUGAGAGUGGAAAGUUCACACUGUGACGGUAGCUUACCAGAAAGGGACGGCUAACUACGUGCCAGCAGCCGCGGUAAUACGUAGGUCCCGAGCGUUGUCCGGAUUUAUUGGGCGUAAAGCGAGCGCAGGCGGUUUGAUAAGUCUGAAGUUAAAGGCUGUGGCUCAACCAUAGUUCGCUUUGGAAACUGUCAAACUUGAGUGCAGAAGGGGAGAGUGGAAUUCCAUGUGUAGCGGUGAAAUGCGUAGAUAUAUGGAGGAACACCGGUGGCGAAAGCGGCUCUCUGGUCUGUAACUGACGCUGAGGCUCGAAAGCGUGGGGAGCGAACAGGAUUAGAUACCCUGGUAGUCCACGCCGUAAACGAUGAGUGCUAGGUGUUGGAUCCUUUCCGGGAUUCAGUGCCGCAGCUAACGCAUUAAGCACUCCGCCUGGGGAGUACGACCGCAAGGUUGAAACUCAAAGGAAUUGACGGGGGCCCGCACAAGCGGUGGAGCAUGUGGUUUAAUUCGAAGCAACGCGAAGAACCUUACCAGGUCUUGACAUCCCGAUGCUAUUUCUAGAGAUAGAAAGUUACUUCGGUACAUCGGUGACAGGUGGUGCAUGGUUGUCGUCAGCUCGUGUCGUGAGAUGUUGGGUUAAGUCCCGCAACGAGCGCAACCCCUAUUGUUAGUUGCCAUCAUUCAGUUGGGCACUCUAGCGAGACUGCCGGUAAUAAACCGGAGGAAGGUGGGGAUGACGUCAAAUCAUCAUGCCCCUUAUGACCUGGGCUACACACGUGCUACAAUGGUUGGUACAACGAGUUGCGAGUCGGUGACGGCAAGCUAAUCUCUUAAAGCCAAUCUCAGUUCGGAUUGUAGGCUGCAACUCGCCUACAUGAAGUCGGAAUCGCUAGUAAUCGCGGAUCAGCACGCCGCGGUGAAUACGUUCCCGGGCCUUGUACACACCGCCCGUCACACCACGAGAGUUUGUAACACCCGAAGUCGAUGAGGUAACCUUUUGGAGCCAGCCGCCUAAGGUGGGAUAGAAA